Molecule: transfer RNA, 74 nt
Filed under: Pseudomonas nitroreducens
Lineage: Bacteria; Pseudomonadati; Pseudomonadota; Gammaproteobacteria; Pseudomonadales; Pseudomonadaceae
Also listed under: 4 other names
Description: tRNA-Leu
Rfam family: tRNA
About the family: Transfer RNA (tRNA) molecules are approximately 80 nucleotides in length. Their secondary structure includes four short double-helical elements and three loops (D, anti-codon, and T loops).
Source: RNAcentral
CGUUCGAUAGCUCAGUCCGGUAGAGCAGCCAUCGAAGGAAUGGCCUGUCGCGGGUUCGACUCCCGCUCGAACAC